Molecule: unclassified non-coding RNA, 89 nt
Filed under: Pseudomonas mediterranea
Lineage: Bacteria; Pseudomonadati; Pseudomonadota; Gammaproteobacteria; Pseudomonadales; Pseudomonadaceae
Source: RNAcentral
CGUGGGAGCGAGCCUGCUCGCGAUAGCGGUGUGUCAGCUGCCAUUGAGCUUGCUGAUCCGGCGCCAUCGCGAGCAGGCUCGCUCCCACA